RNAcentral lists this transfer RNA (73 nucleotides) under Bos taurus (domestic cattle). It matches the Rfam family "tRNA". From Rfam's summary of the family: Transfer RNA (tRNA) molecules are approximately 80 nucleotides in length. RNAcentral also lists the same sequence under 4 other names. Lineage: Eukaryota; Metazoa; Chordata; Mammalia; Artiodactyla; Bovidae. The record is from Rfam by way of RNAcentral.
UCCCUGGUGGUUCAGUGGCUAAGACUCUGUGCUCCCAAUGCAGGUGUCCUGAGUUCGAUCCCUGGUCAGGGAA